GGGUUGUGAGGUUAAGCGACUAAGCGUACACGGUGGAUGCCCUGGCAGUCAGAGGCGAUGAAGGACGUGCUAAUCUGCGAUAAGCGUCGGUAAGGUGAUAUGAACCGUUAUAACCGGCGAUUUCCGAAUGGGGAAACCCAGUGUGUUUCGACACACUAUCAUUAACUGAAUCCAUAGGUUAAUGAGGCGAACCGGGGGAACUGAAACAUCUAAGUACCCCGAGGAAAAGAAAUCAACCGAGAUUCCCCCAGUAGCGGCGAGCGAACGGGGAGCAGCCCAGAGCCUGAAUCAGUGUGUGUGUUAGUGGAAGCGUCUGGAAAGGCGCGCGAUACAGGGUGACAGCCCCGUACACAAAAAUGCACAUACUGUGAGCUCGAUGAGUAGGGCGGGACACGUGGUAUCCUGUCUGAAUAUGGGGGGACCAUCCUCCAAGGCUAAAUACUCCUGACUGACCGAUAGUGAACCAGUACCGUGAGGGAAAGGCGAAAAGAACCCCGGCGAGGGGAGUGAAAAAGAACCUGAAACCGUGUACGUACAAGCAGUGGGAGCACGCUUAGGCGUGUGACUGCGUACCUUUUGUAUAAUGGGUCAGCGACUUAUAUUCUGUAGCAAGGUUAACCGAAUAGGGGAGCCGAAGGGAAACCGAGUCUUAACUGGGCGUUAAGUUGCAGGGUAUAGACCCGAAACCCGGUGAUCUAGCCAUGGGCAGGUUGAAGGUUGGGUAACACUAACUGGAGGACCGAACCGACUAAUGUUGAAAAAUUAGCGGAUGACUUGUGGCUGGGGGUGAAAGGCCAAUCAAACCGGGAGAUAGCUGGUUCUCCCCGAAAGCUAUUUAGGUAGCGCCUCGUGAAUUCAUCUCCGGGGGUAGAGCACUGUUUCGGCAAGGGGGUCAUCCCGACUUACCAACCCGAUGCAAACUGCGAAUACCGGAGAAUGUUAUCACGGGAGACACACGGCGGGUGCUAACGUCCGUCGUGAAGAGGGAAACAACCCAGACCGCCAGCUAAGGUCCCAAAGUCAUGGUUAAGUGGGAAACGAUGUGGGAAGGCCCAGACAGCCAGGAUGUUGGCUUAGAAGCAGCCAUCAUUUAAAGAAAGCGUAAUAGCUCACUGGUCGAGUCGGCCUGCGCGGAAGAUGUAACGGGGCUAAACCAUGCACCGAAGCUGCGGCAGCGACGCUUAUGCGUUGUUGGGUAGGGGAGCGUUCUGUAAGCCUGCGAAGGUGUGCUGUGAGGCAUGCUGGAGGUAUCAGAAGUGCGAAUGCUGACAUAAGUAACGAUAAAGCGGGUGAAAAGCCCGCUCGCCGGAAGACCAAGGGUUCCUGUCCAACGUUAAUCGGGGCAGGGUGAGUCGACCCCUAAGGCGAGGCCGAAAGGCGUAGUCGAUGGGAAACAGGUUAAUAUUCCUGUACUUGGUGUUACUGCGAAGGGGGGACGGAGAAGGCUAUGUUGGCCGGGCGACGGUUGUCCCGGUUUAAGCGUGUAGGCUGGUUUUCCAGGCAAAUCCGGAAAAUCAAGGCUGAGGCGUGAUGACGAGGCACUACGGUGCUGAAGCAACAAAUGCCCUGCUUCCAGGAAAAGCCUCUAAGCAUCAGGUAACAUCAAAUCGUACCCCAAACCGACACAGGUGGUCAGGUAGAGAAUACCAAGGCGCUUGAGAGAACUCGGGUGAAGGAACUAGGCAAAAUGGUGCCGUAACUUCGGGAGAAGGCACGCUGAUAUGUAGGUGAAGUCCCUCGCGGAUGGAGCUGAAAUCAGUCGAAGAUACCAGCUGGCUGCAACUGUUUAUUAAAAACACAGCACUGUGCAAACACGAAAGUGGACGUAUACGGUGUGACGCCUGCCCGGUGCCGGAAGGUUAAUUGAUGGGGUUAGCGCAAGCGAAGCUCUUGAUCGAAGCCCCGGUAAACGGCGGCCGUAACUAUAACGGUCCUAAGGUAGCGAAAUUCCUUGUCGGGUAAGUUCCGACCUGCACGAAUGGCGUAAUGAUGGCCAGGCUGUCUCCACCCGAGACUCAGUGAAAUUGAACUCGCUGUGAAGAUGCAGUGUACCCGCGGCAAGACGGAAAGACCCCGUGAACCUUUACUAUAGCUUGACACUGAACAUUGAGCCUUGAUGUGUAGGAUAGGUGGGAGGCUUUGAAGUGUGGACGCCAGUCUGCAUGGAGCCGACCUUGAAAUACCACCCUUUAAUGUUUGAUGUUCUAACGUUGACCCGUAAUCCGGGUUGCGGACAGUGUCUGGUGGGUAGUUUGACUGGGGCGGUCUCCUCCUAAAGAGUAACGGAGGAGCACGAAGGUUGGCUAAUCCUGGUCGGACAUCAGGAGGUUAGUGCAAUGGCAUAAGCCAGCUUGACUGCGAGCGUGACGGCGCGAGCAGGUGCGAAAGCAGGUCAUAGUGAUCCGGUGGUUCUGAAUGGAAGGGCCAUCGCUCAACGGAUAAAAGGUACUCCGGGGAUAACAGGCUGAUACCGCCCAAGAGUUCAUAUCGACGGCGGUGUUUGGCACCUCGAUGUCGGCUCAUCACAUCCUGGGGCUGAAGUAGGUCCCAAGGGUAUGGCUGUUCGCCAUUUAAAGUGGUACGCGAGCUGGGUUUAGAACGUCGUGAGACAGUUCGGUCCCUAUCUGCCGUGGGCGCUGGAGAACUGAGGGGGGCUGCUCCUAGUACGAGAGGACCGGAGUGGACGCAUCACUGGUGUUCGGGUUGUCAUGCCAAUGGCACUGCCCGGUAGCUAAAUGCGGAAGAGAUAAGUGCUGAAAGCAUCUAAGCACGAAACUUGCCCCGAGAUGAGUUCUCCCUGACUCCUUGAGAGUCCUGAAGGAACGUUGAAGACGACGACGUUGAUAGGCCGGAUGUGUAAGCGCAGCGAUGCGUUGAGCUAACCGGUACUAAUGAACCGUGAGGCUUAACCUUACAACGCCGAAGCUGUU
This 2930-nucleotide ribosomal RNA is filed under the name Escherichia coli. RNAcentral's name for it is "23S ribosomal RNA". It matches the Rfam family "Bacterial large subunit ribosomal RNA". Lineage: Bacteria; Pseudomonadati; Pseudomonadota; Gammaproteobacteria; Enterobacterales; Enterobacteriaceae. The record is from RNAcentral.